RNAcentral lists this ribosomal RNA (2975 nucleotides) under Triticum aestivum (bread wheat). Its description in RNAcentral is "partial small subunit ribosomal RNA". Lineage: Eukaryota; Viridiplantae; Streptophyta; Magnoliopsida; Poales; Poaceae. The record is from RNAcentral.
GUCGUUCAUGGCCUCCCCCACGCCCCCUCCUCUCGCCCCUCCCCUUCCCUCACCACCCAACCGAACCAACCAGCCCACCAACCCGAAGAGAAAAGCGAGCGGAGGCGAGAUGGCAACCGGACGCGAGGCCGGCGAGGCGGCGCCGGGGGAGGAGGAGGAGCAGAGGGAGUGGGCAGAUCUGACGCCGGUGUGCCUGGAGGAGGCAUUCUUGCGGCUGGGCCUGGAGGACUUGUGGCGCGGCGCCAUGGCGUGCUGCCGCUCCUGGCGGGCGGCCGUGCGCUCCCGGCUGGCGCUCUUCGCCGUGCUCGACCUCCGCCUGGCUUUCGAGGCGGUCGGCGCUGCACUUCUGCAGCUGGGACCCGGGGCCCCACCACGCACACCGUCUCUCCCGCGACCACGUGCCGGCCAGGUUCGCCGCCUGGGCGAUGGGUGGAAGGGUCCGUCAGAGGAGGGGGCGCGGAGGGAGAGGAAGGCGGAGAUGGCGCAUAGCACACUGCCGAGAAGCUGUAGAGCCAGGCCUCCCCCGACGUCGAGUUCGAGAACGAGAAGUUCGAGCUCCAGAAGGUGGCGAAGGAGGAGGCCAACGGUGAAGCAGAUGUUGGAUUUGGGGCAAAGGGUGCGCCGGAAGUGAUGUAUGGCCUCCGCUCGUCCUUCCAGGCCUCACCCGUUCACCUGUAAACAUAAAUCCAAUGUAUAAAUCCAAACGAGAUUCGUUCCAUGUAGGAAGGUUGCACAUCCUGCAUGUCACUUGCCACGCUGAACUUUGUCACCAACCCAACCUAACUCAUUUCAUCCUGAUUGUCUGGAAACAUUUAUGAGGACAGAAUCACAAUCACGCCUGUCACUUGCCACACUGCCAUAUUGCCACAGACCAAGCAGGUGCAGGACGUGGUCUCUUCCUCUUUUCGUUUUGAUUCGUUUUGAAGUUACAGCACCAGCCUACUGCAUGCAUCUCCAAGCAUCAGGCUGCUAGUAGUUUACCUGUGCAAGUCAGGCAUCAUUGGACCCUUGUUCAGAAAUCAAGGGCUGGCGUAUAUAGCUAGUAUCAUUGGACACAUUGUCGGAAUUUUUAACACAAUGUCUGGGCUUGUAUAGCUAGUAUUAUAGGCAGGGUGUCUUUUUAAGUGAAAGUUCUUUCUAAGUAUUUUUUCAACUGCUUGUCUGGGCAUAUAUUGCAGUAUUAUAGGAUGCCUGAACAACGAGUCCCAAAUUUGGGAACAGGACAGACAGCUACCUCCCAGUUUUGUAUAUAUGAAAGUGAGCGAGUCCCGAAUUUGGGGACAGGCAGGGGUCCAUUAGGAACAUGGCAGUUAAUUUGCAUAAUCCUCGACCUCCUCCUGCAAUCUCUCUUUCUCCCUUUCUUCUCUGAAUUUCUCGGUGUUGUAUAAGUCUGUAGGAUUCAGAUUUCAAGAGUACUUGCUCCUUGUACUAGUUACUUCUACUACUUAUUUUUAGCUGCUUAGUACUACUCUGUAGAUCUGUGAUACUAGUCUAGUCGCUUGUAUAAUUUUGUUUAUUAGUGUAACCUGAACCAUGGAGUAGUACCUUGUUCGCAUAUGUGUGAUUAUGUGUGGUCUGUAGUCUCUGUGAUAGCUCCAGUACAUGUGAACUAUAUGUUGUGGUGUAAAUCAUUUUCAUUCUAUCUUAUAAACGUGUUUCUUCAAUAGCUAUUUCUGUUCAAGUCUUGUUUUCAUUGAUGUUAGCAUUUAGUUUGUCUCAAGUAAAAAAAUACUAAAAGGAUGAUAUAUGGGUGAGGGACUGAAAGGAUGAUAUGCUUCCAUGAAUUGAUUUGUAAGAAGUUUUCUUGGUUGUGUACAAAUCAGCCCAAAUAUGUGAGCCUUGGUUCUGAAAACUAAAGAGUUCAUAUAUUGAUAGAUAGACUGUCAUUUAGGAUAUGCUAAAUAGAAAGCUUUAUAAGAUGGAACUAUCAAUUCAUCAUGACUUCACUUUGUCCUUUAAUUUAAUAUGGUUAGAACUACCAUGGGGUUUUAAGUAUUUGGGGCAUUAAGAAACAGUAUGCUGGAUGUUUGGCCUUGCAUCCGUCCUUCCAUGAAUUCAUGCUUGUACAUUGCUAGUUAUUGCUUUCUUUGCAGGUCUUAUUCCUCCUCGAUCUGGUGCAGCAGCAACAAUUCAAGGUCAUGGUCAUGGAGCAGCAUCCAUAUAUUUUUCUUCUUAUUCUUCCCUGAGAUGAGAUGAGAUGAGGUUUAUUUUCCUCAAGGUCAAGUCUCUGUUGGUCGGUCUUCAAUUCUUCAUGCUGCUGCUGCUGCUACUGCUACAUGAGGGCCCUCUUCAAUUCUGCAUCCGUUGCGGCCGCCGCAACUUCCACCUCCAGAAGAGCACCUGCUCCUUGUGCGGUUACCCGGCCGCCUGCAUACGCAAGUGUAAGCCCCCUCCCUCCGUCCUAGAUCUCUAGGUCUAUUGCUGUCAUGCGCCAUGUUCUUGAUGUUGCGCGUCCUCAUGUGGAUGCCACAAACGGCGCUGCUCCUGCGUGCAGAUUUGAUUCACCGCAUUAGUAUGCGGUUGUUGUCUCGCCGUGGUUGUUCAAAUUGAGAUGCACCCAGUUGAUUCGUCAUCUCGGGUCAUAAUUUUUCUACAUUCCCUGUUGCUGUAGCUUGUUGGAUGCAUAGUUUGAUCUCCCAAUGGGAAUUAUUAGUGAAUGGUGAUGUCUGUGGUCACGAGAAUGGUGUUGUAGUAGCUGGUAUGCUUGAUGCGUGUAUGUCCAUCUCUUUACUGUUUUGCUAGAACCACAAAUCCUGAUGCAUGAUGAUCAUGGUCUGGUUUGUUAGAUCUAUUCUGCUGGUGCUUAAAAUUUGACAUGCCUGGAUUCUAAAACUCGUUCUUAUAGUUUUCAUUUCUACGAUCAAUUUAGAGAGUUGCACAUGUCAGUAUAUUAUAUACCAAAAACAUUCCUAGCUAGUGAGAACAUUUAGUCACUCCAUGAACGCAUACUGGUUAGUGUUAGUCAUACUAUUUAU